AAAAAGGGUGUUUACCGCCUUGAUGGUACGUACGCCGAUAUCGGUGUGCGGGGUAUGGUUAUCAAGACAUACCUAACACAUAAUUUUUGUACACCAGAGGUAGUUGGAUACCAAUAAGUACCGGCACCUCU
RNAcentral lists this small nuclear RNA (131 nucleotides) under Melitaea cinxia (Glanville fritillary). RNAcentral's name for it is "misc RNA ENSMCXG00005023155.1". It matches the Rfam family "U11 spliceosomal RNA". Lineage: Eukaryota; Metazoa; Arthropoda; Insecta; Lepidoptera; Nymphalidae. The record is from RNAcentral.